RNAcentral lists this ribosomal RNA (552 nucleotides) under Triticum aestivum (bread wheat). RNAcentral describes it as "partial small subunit ribosomal RNA". Lineage: Eukaryota; Viridiplantae; Streptophyta; Magnoliopsida; Poales; Poaceae. The record is from RNAcentral.
AUGGCAGGAGGACUAGAUCAGCUAGUGGCGCUCUGGAGAGAGUGGGGGAUCCAAGUGCUGGUGCUGCUGAGUUUAGCACUCCAGGUAACUCUCCUCAUCACGGCGGAGAUCCGCCGUCGGAAAGACUCCGGCGUGCUAAGGGUCGUCGUGUGGUCGGCAUAUCUACUGGCUGACACAACGGCCAUAUACACUCUGGGCCAUAUGUCGGUGACCAGCAGGUCGCCGGAGCACCAGUUAGUGGCGUUCUGGGCUCCGUUCCUGCUAUUGCACCUUGGUGGCCAGGACAACAUCACCGCCUACUCCAUCGAGGACAACCAUCUGUGGCUGCGCCACCUGCAGAGUUUCGUUGUGCAGGUCCUCGCGGCCGCCUAUGUCCUCUACGAGUCAUCCAUCUUCGUAGGCGGCCGCCGGACCAUGCUCGGCCAGGCCACCAUCCUCAUGUUCGUGGUUGGUGUUGUCAAGUACGGGGAGAGAGUAUGGGCACUCAUGUCUGCCAGCAGUAGUGCCCUGUCUGGGAAGAACUACAACAGUUUUGGCAGGUUGCAUUUUUGA